UUUUUAAACCUUUGGUUAUCUGUUUCUCUUUCCUUUUCAUGCUAGCAUCUGAAAAUCUAUCUAUAAGAAAAAGACUAGCCAGCCUACAUUUUAACAUGAGGGCAGGGGAUGUGUUCUCCUUCUGGUUCAUCGUGUGAGAAGAAGCUCCAUUUCUGCUGGCUUUUGGUGUUUGUUGGUGUGGAUGCUGCAGCUGAGCUGGGGGCAGUUGUCCUUUCCCCACUGAGCCGGGAGCCCCUGGCUGCCGAGUGGACGUGGUGACAGCCUGUGCCCAAAGCAGGCACUGCAUGAAAACACGUGUUUCCAGCUCCUGCAGGCACUCACUUUUUCCAAGAUGACGGAUCUCUGCCUUUUCAUCAUUGCUGCUGACAAGGUCUUAGCGAGCUCUUCUAUGAACUCUGUAGUCUGUUUCUCUCUAAAUAAGCAGAAAAUCUAUGCGCUUUGGCUCCUGUUGCAAGAUGUCACGUGGAGUUGAUUCUCUUGGGUUUAAUUCUUGAUAAGGAUUUGGUUCAAAUAGUCUUAAAUAAGAGCGGACAGAUUGACCAGUCUUGAUGGCACAGUGCUAUCAAGUAUUUUAUUGGCUUGUGUGCCUCUCUUGGUCAUCAGGGUUGGUCAAAACAGUCUGUGGAAAUACAGUUAUUAUGGUCAUUCUACUGAGCAGUUCCUUACUCCAGGUUGCCAGUUUGAUUCCUGAACUCUUGGAUUCUACAGUGAAGAUGCAGAGAACGAGCCUCUGACUUCAGGUUAUCAUGGAUACCCAGCAAGAGACAAUCAAGUAAGAGUCUGAUUGCAGUAAAUGCGUGCGUGUGUUUCUGUAUACUUGUGGAUGUUUUGUCUGACAGCUUCGUGACCAUCUUGUUAAGGAGUGGAAAUUAUUUUGUUCUGUUGUGCAGUGCUUGUGGAGAUAGAGAUGGUGAACUGAAUGUGGCCUCCAGCAGUAUGUGGCAAUGUCUCUGGUGAGGAGUUAAAAAUGAUCCACAUUGCUGGUGGCUCAGGAAAUCCUUUAUUCUUAAAAAUUUUGUAGCUUAAAAUCCCCGUCCUAAACUCCCACUGUAUCUCCUCAGAGUAAAUGAAUGUAGAUG
Molecule: long non-coding RNA, 1079 nt
Filed under: Meleagris gallopavo (turkey)
Lineage: Eukaryota; Metazoa; Chordata; Aves; Galliformes; Phasianidae
Description: lncRNA (ENSMGAG00000021735.1)
Source: RNAcentral